This 253-nucleotide ribosomal RNA is filed under the name uncultured bacterium. RNAcentral's name for it is "partial 16S ribosomal RNA". It matches the Rfam family "Bacterial small subunit ribosomal RNA", at positions 524 to 776 of the family's 1533-position model. The record is from RNAcentral.
UACGUAGGGGGCUAGCGUUGUCCGGAAUCAUUGGGCGUAAAGAGCGUGUAGGCGGUCCGGUAAGUCCGCUGUGAAAGUCGGGGGCUCAACCCUCGAAUGCCGGUGGAUACUGUCGGGCUAGAGUGCGGAAGAGGAGUGUGGAAUUCCUGGUGUAGCGGUGAAAUGCGCAGAUAUCAGGAAGAACACCUAUGGCGAAGGCAGCUCUCUGGGACGGUACUGACGCUGAGACGCGAAAGCGUGGGGAGCGAACAGG